RNAcentral lists this ribosomal RNA (253 nucleotides) under uncultured bacterium. RNAcentral's name for it is "partial 16S ribosomal RNA". It matches the Rfam family "Bacterial small subunit ribosomal RNA", at positions 524 to 776 of the family's 1533-position model. The record is from RNAcentral.
UACGAAGGGGGCUAGCGUUGUUCGGAAUUACUGGGCGUAAAGCGCACGUAGGCGGGUUGUUAAGUCAGGGGUGAAAUCCUGGAGCUCAACUCCAGAACUGCCUUUGAUACUGGCAACCUAGAGACUGGAAGAGGUUAGUGGAAUUCCCAGUGUAGAGGUGAAAUUCGUAGAUAUUCGCAAGAACACCAGUGGCGAAGGCGGCUCACUGGCUCGAUACUGACGCUGAGGUGCGAAAGCGUGGGGAGCAAACAGG